Molecule: transfer RNA, 85 nt
Filed under: Phytohabitans houttuyneae
Lineage: Bacteria; Bacillati; Actinomycetota; Actinomycetes; Micromonosporales; Micromonosporaceae
Description: tRNA-Asn
Rfam family: tRNA
About the family: Transfer RNA (tRNA) molecules are approximately 80 nucleotides in length. Their secondary structure includes four short double-helical elements and three loops (D, anti-codon, and T loops).
Source: RNAcentral
UCCCGUGUAGACCGUAAACGGAAGCGGGCCGGACUGUUAAUCCGGUGGCGGAAGCCUCUGCUGGUUCGAGUCCAGCCGCGGGAGC